UACGAAGGGUGCAAGCGUUACUCGGAAUCACUGGGCGUAAAGCGUGCGUAGGCGGUUCGUUAAGUCCGCUGUGAAAGCCCUGGGCUCAACCUGGGAACUGCAGUGGAUACUGGCGGACUAGAGUGUGAUAGAGGAUGGUGGAAUUCCCGGUGUAGCGGUGAAAUGCGUAGAGAUCGGGAGGAACACCAGUGGCGAAGGCGGCCAUCUGGAUCAACACUGACGCUGAGGCACGAAAGCGUGGGGAGCAAACAGG
Molecule: ribosomal RNA, 253 nt
Filed under: uncultured bacterium
Lineage: Bacteria
Description: partial 16S ribosomal RNA
Rfam family: Bacterial small subunit ribosomal RNA
Source: RNAcentral